Molecule: long non-coding RNA, 695 nt
Organism: Syzygium oleosum
Lineage: Eukaryota; Viridiplantae; Streptophyta; Magnoliopsida; Myrtales; Myrtaceae
Exons: 2
Source: RefSeq, a predicted model, not a curated record
GACACUUCAGGCUCUUCCGGGAGUUCUUGGGUCAUGGUGGUUGUUGGCUUCUGUUCCAGGAUAAUCAUUGCUUUUCAUCUCCAUCCUCCUCUCCAUAAACACCGUCUCAUCUCCUUCUCUCAUUCCCAAUUUUUCAUCCUGCACUGAUACUUCAUCAUCAUCCUCUUCCCUGCUUGACUUGAAGCUCCCUGCGAAACAGAACAACAAUUCAAAAGCAUCAAGAACUGCCCAAUCUACAGAAACAACAAAAGGCUAACUCAGGAACAUCUCCCAAAUCCUCAAACCCGAGCCUUACUAGUUGAAGGAACCGCAAGAGAUGAGAGAAGGCAAGAGAAGCCCAGAAACAGCACCAGGAGCCUCGCAGCAGCAAUGGUGGACUUGUGCUGUGCCAUGUCUUCGAGGUUGAGAAUAGGUAAAUGCUUUUUGGUGAUAUCGGGAAAGCAAAGUCGGGUAGGUGAAGUCUGGUGAUGGGCAUGUGAGAAAAAUGCUUGCGGCGAGAUGGAACUCUUUAUAGAGAGAGAGAGAGAGAGACAGAGGAAUAUCAAUGGGAAUUUCUUCAUUUUUUGUAUAUAAUAUAAUGUUUGAUUGAAUUUUCAAUGCCACCAGAAAGAAAAGUUAAUCUUUCUCUCCAACCACAAAGUCGACUUCCACUUGUAUAAGAUGGGCUUUGAGUUCCCACUGGCCUAACUCUCUUA